GUUCCAUCUGGAAGAAGUACUGGAGACAGGUGGCUGCAUGGCUGUCGUCAGCUCGUGUCGCGAGAUGUUGGGUUAAGUCCCGCAACGAGCGCAACCCUUGCCUUUAGUUGCCAGCAGUUCGGCUGGGCACUCUAAAGGGACUGCCGGUGUUAAACCGGAGGAAGGUGGGGAUGACGUCAAGUCCUCAUGGCCUUUAUGACCAGGGCUACACACGUACUACAAUGGCCGAUACAAAGGGCAGCGACACUGCGAGGUGAAGCCAAUCCCGUAAAAUCGGUCUCAGUCCGGAUUGGAGUCUGCAACUCGACUCCAUGAAGUUGGAAUCGCUAGUAAUCGUGGAUCAGCAUGCCACGGUGAAUACGUUCCCGGGCCUU
This 374-nucleotide ribosomal RNA is filed under the name uncultured Desulfobulbus sp. Its description in RNAcentral is "bacterial SSU rRNA". It matches the Rfam family "Bacterial small subunit ribosomal RNA", at positions 1009 to 1382 of the family's 1533-position model. Lineage: Bacteria; Pseudomonadati; Thermodesulfobacteriota; Desulfobulbia; Desulfobulbales; Desulfobulbaceae. The record is from RNAcentral.